Molecule: ribosomal RNA, 447 nt
Filed under: uncultured bacterium
Lineage: Bacteria
Description: partial 16S ribosomal RNA
Rfam family: Bacterial small subunit ribosomal RNA
Source: RNAcentral
AACGAACGCUGGCGGCAGGCUUAUCACAUGCAAGUCGAACGCCCCGCAAGGGGAGUGGCAGACGGGUGAGUAACGCGUGGGAACAUACCCUUUUCUACGGAAUAGCUCUGGGAAACUGGAAUUAAUACCGUAUACGCCCUACGGGGGAAAGAUUUAUCGGGGAAGGAUUGGCCCGCGUUGGAUUAGCUAGUUGGUGGGGUAAAGGCCUACCAAGGCGACGAUCCAUAGCUGGUCUGAGAGGAUGAUCAGCCACAUUGGGACUGAGACACGGCCCAAACUCCUACGGGAGGCAGCAGUGGGGAAUAUUGGACAAUGGGCGCAAGCCUGAUCCAGCCAUGCCGCGUGAGUGAUGAAGGCCUUAGGGUUGUAAAGCUCUUUCACCGAUGAAGAUAAUGACGGUAGUCGGAGAAGAAGCCCCGGCUAACUUCGUGCCAGCAGCCGCCGCCG